Molecule: ribosomal RNA, 468 nt
Filed under: uncultured bacterium
Lineage: Bacteria
Description: partial 16S ribosomal RNA
Rfam family: Bacterial small subunit ribosomal RNA
Source: RNAcentral
GACGAACGCUGGCGGCGUGCUUAACACAUGCAAGUCGAACGGAAAGGCCCUGCGUUUGUGGGGUGCUCGAGUGGCGAACGGGUGAGUAACACGUGAGUAACCUGCCCUUGACUUUGGGAUAACUUCAGGAAACUGGGGCUAAUACCGGAUAGGAGCUCCUGCUGCAUGGUGGGGGUUGGAAAGUUUCGGCGGUAGGGGAUGGACUCGCGGCUUAUCAGCUUGUUGGUGGGGUAGUGGCUUACCAAGGCUGUGACGGGUAGCCGGCCUGAGAGGGUGACCGGCCACAUUGGGACUGCGAGACGGCCCAGACUGCUACAGGAGGCAACAGUGGGGAGUAUGACACAGUGAGCGCAAGCCUGAUGCAGAGACGCCGCGUGCGGGAUGACGUCCUUCGGGGUGUGAACCGCUUUAGCCUAAGACGAAGCGUGAGUGACGGUAAUGAAUGAAGAAGCACCGGCUAACUACGUG